CAACCCUCAAGCUCUGCUUGGUAUUGGGUGUCACCGGCUCCGGUGUGCCCUAAAAUCAGUGGCGGUGCCAUCUGGCUCUAAGCGUAGUACAUCUCUCGCUAUGGACGUCCGGUGGAUGCUUGCCAACAACCCCUAAUUUUUUAA
Molecule: unclassified non-coding RNA, 144 nt
Filed under: uncultured Helotiales
Lineage: Eukaryota; Fungi; Ascomycota; Leotiomycetes; Helotiales
Description: sequence contains ITS2
Source: RNAcentral